AACACGUGAGUAACCUGCCCCUGACUCUGGGAUAAGCCCGGGAAACUGGGUCUAAUACUGGAUAUGCACCGUGAACCGCAUGGUUCUUGGUGGAAAGAUUUUUUGGUCAGGGAUGGACUCGCGGCCUAUCAGCUUGUUGGUGAGGUAAUGGCUCACCAAGGCGACGACGGGUAGCCGGCCUGAGAGGGUGACCGGCCACACUGGGACUGAGACACGGCCCAGACUCCUACGGGAGGCAGCAGUGGGGAAUAUUGCACAAUGGGCGAAAGCCUGAUGCAGCGACGCCGCGUGAGGGAUGACGGCCUUCGGGUUGUAAACCUCUUUCAGUAGGGAAGAAGCGAAAGUGACGGUACCUGCAGAAGAAGCGCCGGCUAACUACGUGCCAGCAGCCGCGGUAAUACGUAGGGCGCAAGCGUUAUCCGGAAUUAUUGGGCGUAAAGAGCUCGUAGGCGGUUUGUCGCGUCUGCCGUGAAAGUCCGAGGCUCAACCUCGGAUCUGCGGUGGGUACGGGCAGACUAGAGUGAUGUAGGGGAGACUGGAAUUCCUGGUGUAGCGGUGAAAUGCGCAGAUAUCAGGAGG
RNAcentral lists this ribosomal RNA (579 nucleotides) under uncultured bacterium. RNAcentral's name for it is "bacterial SSU rRNA". It matches the Rfam family "Bacterial small subunit ribosomal RNA", at positions 112 to 704 of the family's 1533-position model. The record is from RNAcentral.